Oncorhynchus keta (chum salmon) is the source of this 955-nucleotide long non-coding RNA. RefSeq lists it as uncharacterized. The transcript is spliced from 4 exons. The record is from RefSeq and is a predicted model, not a curated record. Lineage: Eukaryota; Metazoa; Chordata; Actinopteri; Salmoniformes; Salmonidae.
CACUCAUGGGGGUGUAGGAAACAGGUGGGCUUUUAGGAGGGGGUCUCAAAGACACUCAUGGGAGUGUAGGAAACAGGUGGGCUUUUAGGAGGGGGUCUCAAAGACACUCAUGGGGGUGUCAGCUGGAAGCUGAAAAGCAACAAGAAUCAGGGGCCUAAUAGACACCCACCAUAAGUGCCCACUAAAUCUGUCCCAGAAAAGGCAAACCAAACUAAAAACCCACCAACUUAUAAUAAAAACACUGGUGGAGCAAACCACAGAGGAGAACACUGGUGGAGCAAACCACAGAGGUAAACACUGGUGGAGCAAACCACAGAGGUAAACACUGGUGGAGCAAACCACAGAGGUAAACACUGGUGGAGCAAACCACAGAGGUAAACACUGGUGGAGCAAACCACAGAGGUAAACACUGGUGGAGCAAACCACAGAGGUAAACACUGGUGGAGCAAACCACAGAGGAGAACACUGGUGGAGCAAACCACAGAGGAAAACACUGGUGGAGCAAACCACAGAGGAGAACACUGGUGGAGCAAACCACAGAGGAGAACACUGGUGGAGCAAACCACAGAGGAGAACACUGGUGGAGCAAACCACAGAGGAGAACACUGGUGGAGCAAACCACAGAGGUAAACACUGGUGGAGCAAACCACAGAGGUAAACACUGGUGGAGCAAACCACAGAGGAGAACACUGGUGGAGCAAACCACAGAGGAGAACACUGGUGGAGCAAACCACAGAGGAGAACACUGGUGGAGCAAACCACAGAGGAGAACACUGGUGGAGCAAACCACAGAGGAGAACACUGGUGGAGCAAACCACAGAGGAGAACACUGGUGGAGCAAACCACAGAGGAGAACACUGGUGGAGCAAACCACAGAGGAGAACACUGGUGGAGCAAACCACAGAGGAGAACACUGGUGGAGCAAACCACAGAGGAGAACACUGGUGGAGCAAAC